GUCUAUGGCCAUGCCACCCUGAACACCCCUGAUCCCAUCUGAUCUCGGAAGCUAAGCAGGGUCGGGCCUGGUUAGUACUUGGAUGGGAGACCACUUAGGAAGACCUGGUGCUGUAGGUG
Molecule: non-coding RNA, 119 nt
Organism: Pteropus alecto (black flying fox)
Lineage: Eukaryota; Metazoa; Chordata; Mammalia; Chiroptera; Pteropodidae
Source: Rfam